CUUCUCCCUGCAAAAACGAAAAUGUAACCCCUGAAAAUGGGAAACCCACUAUAGAGCUGGGCCAUUCUCCAAUCCAGGCCUGGAAGCUUAGCCCAUGGGGACAUUAUGGGGGUCCCCAGAACCUCUCAUCUAUAUCUGGGGCUUCUCCUCUGCAGGCUAGGCAGGGAUGGGGUGAGCUGUAAAUAGGCUCAGCCACACAGUAUUUGGGGAUCACUUGGGAACACAGGGAUACAACAGCCUCCAGGAAAUACUCCAUAUAGCUCCUCUGCACUGACCCAAGAACUUUAUAGAAAGUGGCUGUGGCUAGCUGAGCAUCUUGACUCCAUCUGUUUGGGAGAUGGCAGUUCCUCCCCUAUUGUCCAGAAAGGUGUCCCAGCAGCUGUAUCCUCCAUAGAUACCUACUAGGGUGGCUGAAUCUUUCAACUGAGACUUUAAGAUAUUUUAAGUAGGAGCCUUAAAGCCUGGAUGCUCAGCUACUAAGAUAUUUUAAGUAGGAGCCUUAAAAGCCUGGAUGCUCAGCUACAGCAAUGGGGGUUCAGAGGGUAAGAGCCUUGGCAACCUAGGUCCAACAUGAGGGAUCAGGAAGGAUGUGAGGGAACCUGAGGCCAUUAUGGCUGAAUUAGGUACUGGGUACAAUUCUUGGGGAUACUGAGAAGAACCCAGGACACUCUUGGUGAAGCUUCCUAUAGCCCUCUAUGGCAUCCCAAGGGGCAUAACAUGAGUGACUGGAGGCUGUCUUUUCUGGAGAAGACCCUAUGAGAAGGUUUCCACUUCAGAUGAUGGGAGGGGGUGAGGUAGAGCUGCAAGAUUUCAGUUGUCUCCCCAAAUUGUUUGGGCUAUAACUGGAUGAUAAGACACCAUCUCUGAGGCUAAGCUGUCCCCCAGCCCCAUCCAAGACUGGCUCUAUUCUCAGCCCUAACAAGACCCCCCAGGUCCCCAGAGUAACCUCUAGAAUACAGGAGCACACGCACCUCCGGGCCCACAUUUCUAGCCAAGAACCACCCUGUUAUCUGUAUCCCAAGAUCUACCCCCACAACAAGGUCUUUCCAGCUCCAAUGGGGAAUACCGUUUCACCCUAGCUCUCAGAGGAGGGGCUUGCAUUUGUGGUUACAAGGCCAGGAGUCUCAGGGCAUCUUCCCCAUUCCUCUCCCAACUCACAUCGAUGCCAUCCUUGCCGGGCUUCCCAGGAGGUCCUUGGGGACCAGGGGGGCCUCGAGGUCCCACUUUCUGAAAUUAAGAUAAGUUAUUAGUCUGGGCAGUAGUGGCGCACGCCUUUGAUCCCAGCACUCAGGAGGCAGAGCCAGGCGGAUCUGUGAGUUUGAGGCCAGCCUGGUCUACAGAGCGAGAUCCAGGACAGGCUCCAAAGGUACACAGAGAAACCCUGUCUCGAAAAACCAAAAAGGUAAGUUAUUGGGUAGUCCUCCUUUCCACCCUGUCAGGCCCCCUGUUCCAUCUUCCCCAGCCCAAGUAAUUCUAGGGCCUGUGAUAGUGGCCCAUGACCCCCCUUCCUGCCCGCUAGAAAACCCCAAAGUCUCCUGUGCUGGAGCCUGGCUUGGAGGCACGGUUUAUCCCUGCUUGCGCCAGGAGUGGCUGUGCCGCGGCCCCGCAGGGAGUCUCCAGGAACAAAGGCAACAUUGUGCGUGGUGGCAGAGCCGGCAGCAGCCUGACCCGGUUGGGCGAAGACAAGUGGGAGCCCAGGAUCAUGGUCGACUUGUCCUGGUGUCCACGGGGUUCAGCUGCAUCACUAGAACUUGCUCGCCGGAGGAAGGCGGCGAGGAGGCUGCCAUAGAAGUCCUCAAAGGUCCACGGCGGUGGAACUCAGAGUUUGGCCCAGGAGGCUCGAGUUGUAGCAGGUUGUGAGAUCGUGGCCAGGAAGAACCCCUGCAGUAAAGGGCACCUUUUAAAAGCUGCGAAGGACAUACCCAAGAUGCCCAAAUACCAAGAGGAUCACGCUCUGUAACAGGUGCUGUGAAUGUCCACGGGGGCGAAGCAGGGGGAGCUCAGGAAGCCGUGCCCUCAGGUAGUCUGAGACGGACCAAAGCACCUCUUCAGAAAAAGGUACUGUGGCAGCAGUAGCUGCAGCUGGGGGCUCUGAACAGCCCAUACCACACGGAACUGUGAAGUACCUCCCACCUGACCAGGUUCCAGCCCUUUCUGCCACCUCAGCACCUAACAGGCAGCAUAUAAAGCAGCGACUGGACGCCAAUCGGAGGCACAGCUGGCCUUUAGCUUGGGUCUGGGGAACAGUUUUGGCACCUGAAGCAGACUUUUGUCUUCAACUCCCUCACAUCCCCAGUAUCUGUAGACCUCUGAGGUGAGGCCAGCCUCACAUCCUAGGCCUGUUAGGUCCAGGCCUCCCAGUACUUGCCUUUGAGCUGUGCAGAACUAAAGACUUACCUGUUUUGGUAUGCCAUUCUUCCUGAAAGUCUGGCAGGGGGUCAAGUGAGUCAGAGUGGCCAGCCAUCCCUAGAGUCUCUCCUCACUUUCAAGAGUCAAUAUUCCCCAUCCAACCUGAGUCCCAGCCAUCUAGCUGAAGAUGCCUGCACACCCCAAGAGGGACCCCAACUGUAGUUGCCUUCUAUCCACCUCUGAGCAUCCAUUUUCAUUUCAAAGCCUUACCAAUAAGCCAAACCACAGCUAAGGUUCCCAGGGUCCACAGCCUCAAGAUAACCCUGGGAGGGCGCUGUCCACAGCAUAGUACUAUGACCUUGUCAAGGGAUGGCACUGACCCCUAGGUUCAACUCGGGGAGAACUGUGAUCUCCCUCAGAACACCCAGGAUGGUGCUUGAUUGCCACCUCAUCUGUACCAAGAUGUGUGUGAAUCCCUCCUCUCCACGGUCCAUAAAACUCCUUACCCGACGGAUAGGCACUGGGGAAUUAGAAGAGGGAAAAGUCUCAGCAGAGGGAAGCUACAGUGAGAUGCCAGUCUGAUAGGCCACAUAGGGAGGGCACUGGAAGACAGCACCGGGGCAGGCCUAUCAGCAGAGAGGCAAGACAGGAUGGGUCUAGACAUGUAAACGCAGAACUGUCCCCAGCCCAUCCAAAGGGCCUGUGUACCAGCUUCUGAGUUCCUGAACAGGUGACAGGUAGCAGCUAAGGUGGUGAUGACCCUUGUAUUCAGGAAGGCUGUAUAUAUUACAAUAGUCUGCAUAGGGUGCCAGUGCCCAGAGAGCUGUGCAACCAGUGUCUGCCAGGCUCUAU
Molecule: long non-coding RNA, 3201 nt
Organism: Peromyscus maniculatus bairdii (prairie deer mouse)
Lineage: Eukaryota; Metazoa; Chordata; Mammalia; Rodentia; Cricetidae
Source: RefSeq, a predicted model, not a curated record